RNAcentral lists this ribosomal RNA (224 nucleotides) under uncultured Actinomycetales bacterium. Its description in RNAcentral is "partial 16S ribosomal RNA". It matches the Rfam family "Bacterial small subunit ribosomal RNA", at positions 106 to 334 of the family's 1533-position model. The record is from RNAcentral. Lineage: Bacteria; Bacillati; Actinomycetota; Actinomycetes; Actinomycetales.
GUGAGUAACACGUGGGUGAUCUGCCUUGCACUUCGGGAUAAGCCUGGGAAACUGGGUCUAAUACCGGAUAGGACCAUGCUUUAGUGUGUGUGGUGGAAAGUUUUUCGGUGCAAGAUGAGCCCGCGGCCUAUCAGCUUGUUGGUGAGGUAAUGGCCUACCAAGGCGACGACGGGUAGCCGGCCUGAGAGGGUGUACGGCCACAUUGGGACUGAGACACGGCCCAG